RNAcentral lists this unclassified non-coding RNA (400 nucleotides) under uncultured fungus. Its description in RNAcentral is "sequence contains ITS1". The stretch from base 1 to 105 matches the Rfam family "5.8S ribosomal RNA", at positions 50 to 154 of the family's 154-position model. Lineage: Eukaryota; Fungi. The record is from RNAcentral.
AAACUGCGAUAAGUAGCGUGAAUUGCAGACGCUUUGAACGUUAAACUUUCGAACGCACAUUGCGCCGUAGGAGUCCUACCCUACGGCACAUCUGGUUGAGGGUCGUGAUCAAAAACAGCCGCACAGUAGCUGGAAUAGAACGAAUUGGUGAAUCACGAGUCCGGCCCACCCGUACUCGGGCCGUACGUGUUUUGCCAUUGUGCUCUAGAGGAUAGCGGGGCUCUUCGGAACCUGCGGCUACCUGCCACACGGACGGGCUAUCAGCUGAGGCGAUAGAUUCCGGCCUUAGGGUAUCAUUAAACCGCAUUGAGUGUAUACUUGGUUGGACCGGACCGUUGGAAUCUCGCCUGUGCCGUACGUGCCUGGCAGUGGUUGAUCGAAUUCCCGACCUCAACUCAGG